ACUGGUUGAUCCUGCCAGAUGCAUCUUAUAUCCGAUGGCACUUAGGUAUGUAAGUGUAGGAUAUUUUUAUAUCCUCGCGAAAAGCUCUGUAACACGUCGGGAAGCUGCUCUUAGGUUUGGUAUAACGUCGGAAAACUGACCAUAAUCCCAAAUAGUCAAGGAGUGCUGGAAUGCCCCAUUGAUUAAAGAUAUUCGCCUAAGAAUGCCCCGGCGGCUCAUUAUGCUAGUAGGUGGGGUCACGGCCCACCUAGGCGAUGAUGAGUAUGGGCACUGAAAGGUGUAGCCCAGAGAAGGACACUGAGACAAUGGUCCUGGCCCUACGGGGUCCAGCAAUCAGGAAAAUUCUACAAUACACGCAAGUGUGAUAGAGCCAUUCGGAGUGUCAGGCUAUCGCUUGACUGUCAAUGAAUGUAAACAGUUCAUAAAGGAAGCAGAGGGCAAGGCUGGUGCCAGCCGCCGCGGUAAAACCAGCUCUGCGAUGGGAUGCAAUAUUAUUUGGCCUAAAGUGGGCGUAGCGGGCUUCAUCAGUCCUCCGUUAAAUCUACUCGCUCAACGAGUAACCAGCGGAGGAUACAGAGAAGCUAGAGAUAGGGAGAGGACAAGAGUACGAUAGAGGAAGCGGUGUAAUGCGAUGAUCUUAAUCGGACUGCCUGUGGCGAAGGCGCUUGUCUGGAACUAGUCUGACUGUGAGGCCCGAAAGCCAGGGGAGCGAAACGGAUUAGAUACCCGUGUAGUCCUGGCCGUAAACGAUGCGCUCUAGGUGUCGCAAAAGUCAAGAGCUUUUGCAGUGCCUUAGCGAAGGCAUUAAGAGCGCCGCCUGGGGAGUACGGUCGCAAGGCUGAAACUUAAGGGAAUUGACGGGAGCUCACCACCAGGGGUGGAUGCUGCGGCUUAAUUCGACUUAACGCGAGAAAACUUACGCGGGGCGACUGACCAAUGACUCUCAGGUUGAUGACCUUAGAGGAGGAUCAGAGUGGUAGUGCACGGCCCGCUCCAGUUCGUGUCUUGAGGCGUCCGGUUAAGUCCGGUAACGAGCGAGACCGUCAGUCCUUGUUGCUAACAGUAAGCUUAGGCUUGGCUGAGAACCCGAGGACGACCGCUAUGGUUAACAUAGAGGAAGGUGACGUCAAGGCGAGGUCAGUAUGCUCCUAUAUCCCCGCGGCCGCACGCGGCAUACAUUGGCUGUGACAAUGAGAUGUGACCCCGAAAGGGGGAACCAACCUCCAAACGCAGUCUCAGUUGGGAUCGAGGGCUGUAACCGCCCUCGUGAACGAGGAAUCCCAAGUAAUCGUGUUUCAUUAUGACACGGUGAAUACGUCCCUGAGCUUUGUACACACCGCCCGUCGUUGCACCCGAGUGAGCUCUGCCUGAGGUAGUGUCAAUUUGACAUUCACGAAGGUAGGGUUUGUAAGGAGGCAAAAGUCGUAACAAGGUG
This 1435-nucleotide ribosomal RNA is filed under the name metagenome. Its description in RNAcentral is "bacterial SSU rRNA". It matches the Rfam family "Archaeal small subunit ribosomal RNA". The record is from RNAcentral.